AUAAUAUAAACGGCGUAAAACACGACUAAAUACAAGUCCAACCAUUAAGACUGAAAUAAAGCUAGGCCGUAAAAAGCCAUAAGCCCCAAUAAAGCUCCUAAUGACAAACAACUUCCACUCGUGAAAGCUAGGACACAAACUAAGAUUAGAUACCUUACUAUGCCUAGCCAUAACAAAACAAUCAAAUUACCAAUUGUUCGCCAAAUAACUACGAGUAAAGACUUAAAAUUUAAAAGACUUGACGGUACCUCAUAACAACCUAGAGGAGCCUGUCAAGUAACCGAUACUCCACGAUUAACCCAACCUUCCCUAGCCUAACAGUCUAUAUACCGCCGUCGCCAGCCUACCUUGUGAAAGAAACAAAGUGAGCUAAAUAGCUACCACACUAACACGACAGGUCGAGGUGUAACUUAUGAGAAGGACAAUGAUGGGCUACAUUUUCUAAAACAGAAAAUACGAAUUAAACUAUGAAAAAGAAACUGAAGGCGGAUUUAGCAGUAAACUACGAACAAAAUACCUAGUCGAAACUAAUGCAAUGAGGUGCGUACACACCGCCCGUCAUCCCUGUCAUCUAAAUAACAAAAUCCAUAAA
Molecule: ribosomal RNA, 592 nt
Filed under: Masticophis flagellum (coachwhip)
Lineage: Eukaryota; Metazoa; Chordata; Lepidosauria; Squamata; Colubridae
Description: partial 12S ribosomal RNA
Source: RNAcentral